CCAGCUCCAAUAGCGUAUAUUAAAGUUGUUGCAGUUAAAAAGCUCGUAGUUGAAUUUCUGACUUUGAGGCGCGACCGACCCCGUGUGGGCCUGUGUCUGCGAAUCGAGGUCAUCCUCGAGGAAUGCGUAUCUGUCAUUCAGUUGAUGGGUACGAGUACCUCGUCAUUUACUGUGAGCAAAAUAGAGUGUUCAAAGCAGGCUUACGCCAUUGAAUACAUUAGCAUGGAAUAAUAAGAUAGGACCUUGGUCUAUUUUGUUGGUUAGUACUCCAAGGUAAUGACUAAUAGGGACAGUUGGGGGUAUUCGUAUUCAAUUGUCAGAGGUGAAAUUCUUGGAUUUAUGGAAGACGAACUACUGCGAAAGCAUUUACCAAGGAUGUUUUCAUUAAUCAAGAACGAAAGUUAGGGGAUCGAAGAUGAUUAGAUAUCAUCGUAGUCUUAACCAUAAACUAUGCCGACUAGGGAUUGGUGGUUGUCCUUUUGGAUUCCAUCAGCACCUUAUGAGAAAUCAAAGUGUUUGGGUUUUGGGGGGAGUAUGGUCGCAAGGCUGAAACUUAAAGGAAUUGACGGAAGGGCACCACCAGGAGUGGAACCUGCGGCUUAAUUCGACUCAAC
This 614-nucleotide ribosomal RNA is filed under the name uncultured eukaryote. RNAcentral's name for it is "SSU rRNA". It matches the Rfam family "Eukaryotic small subunit ribosomal RNA", at positions 585 to 1204 of the family's 1831-position model. The record is from RNAcentral.